Molecule: ribosomal RNA, 422 nt
Filed under: uncultured bacterium
Lineage: Bacteria
Description: bacterial SSU rRNA
Rfam family: Bacterial small subunit ribosomal RNA
Source: RNAcentral
UGAGGAAUAUUGGGCAAUGCCCGAAAGGGUGACCCAGCAACGCCGCGUGGAGGAUGAAGGUCGUAAGAUUGUAAACUCCUGUUAGAGGGGAAGAAUAACUAAGUUUGGAGCUUAGUAUGACCGUACCCUCAGAGAAAGCCCCGGCUAACUACGUGCCAGCAGCCGCGGUAAUACGUAGGGUGCGAGCGUUAAUCGGAAUUACUGGGCGUAAAGCGUGCGCAGGCGGUUUUGUAAGACAGAUGUGAAAUCCCCGGGCUUAACCUGGGAACUGCGUUUGUGACGGCAAGGCUGGAGUACGGCAGAGGGGGGUGGAAUUCCACGUGUAGCAGUGAAAUGCGUAGAGAUGUGGAGGAACACCGAUGGCGAAGGCAGCCCCCUGGGCCUGUACUGACGCUCAUGCACGAAAGCGUGGGGAGCAAACA